RNAcentral lists this long non-coding RNA (228 nucleotides) under Ananas comosus (pineapple). RNAcentral's name for it is "long non-coding RNA (ACOM_LNC019910)". The record is from RNAcentral. Lineage: Eukaryota; Viridiplantae; Streptophyta; Magnoliopsida; Poales; Bromeliaceae.
GAUUUUAAACAGACCGUGAGCAUGAUCCAAUCCUCUAAGCUCGAGGAUACCCUGUCCUCUAGGGUUACAAUCAUCAUAUAGUCCAUAGGUUUCAUAUACACUAUGACUCACAUGGUUUCAUAUACACUAUGACUCACAUAUGUUACUCGUUCUUUUGUUUAUUAUCAACUAGAUGCCACUCGUUCUUUACAAGUUUCCAAUGCAAUAGCCAAUACAUUACUAAAUUCC